UGCUAUGUGUCGCUGGAGGUCAGUUGAAUGUGCCUCUGUAUAUUCUUCUCGGUCUGCGGCUGAGGAAGACUCUACACCUACAUCGAGCAUCGCGAUGUUCUCUGGGCGGAAGGAAAAGAACAAUGGCAGAGUCACGUGAUGCCCACCAAGCUUCUCUCUGGAAGUGGAGAAGUGAGGAGGGGUCUGGGUGAGCCGGUGGCAGUGAGCUGGGUCCUAGCAUUAGCAAUCACGGUCACCGGUGAAAAGAAGAACCAUCGAGAAGAGAAGAGAAAGAACUGGCCUUAGAUCUGCUUGUAGCCAAACUUUUGUUCACACCUACCCCAUGGUUUGUGUAUGUGUCC
Long non-coding RNA from Mus musculus (house mouse), 341 nucleotides. RefSeq annotates it as predicted gene, 40161. The transcript has 3 exons. NCBI's taxonomy places the organism in Eukaryota, Metazoa, Chordata, Mammalia, Rodentia, Muridae. The record is from RefSeq and is a predicted model, not a curated record.